CACGUAGGCACCAAGCGUUGUCCGGAUUUAUUGGGCGUAAAGAGCUCGUAGGCGGUUCGGUAAGUCGGGUGUGAAAACUUUGGGCUCAACCCAAAGCGUGCACUCGAUACUGCCAUGACUAGAGUUCGGUAGGGGAGUGGGGAAUUCCUAGUGUAGCGGUGAAAUGCGCAGAUAUUAGGAGGAACACCGGUGGCGAAGGCGCCACUCUGGGCCGAAACUGACGCUGAGGAGCGAAAGCGUGGGGAGCGAACAGG
Molecule: ribosomal RNA, 254 nt
Filed under: uncultured bacterium
Lineage: Bacteria
Description: partial 16S ribosomal RNA
Rfam family: Bacterial small subunit ribosomal RNA
Source: RNAcentral